CUCUUUUGUCUCCAUCUCCGUGGAAUCUUCUGUUUCUUGGAAUGGAUUUUCCAAGAGUUUCAAUACAUUUCUCACCUCUGAGAAAUCCCCAUUUUCAGCUGCUUCUAUGGCAUUCUGAGCAAUGUAGUUUCUCAAGAUGUAUUUUGGAUUGUUGGAAUUCAUAACCUUCACACGUUCAGUAUUCCAGGCAUCAACAUCACUAAUGCUUUCUACUUCUUUGUGUAAACGGACUCUG
This 235-nucleotide long non-coding RNA is filed under the name Gallus gallus (chicken). Lineage: Eukaryota; Metazoa; Chordata; Aves; Galliformes; Phasianidae. The record is from RNAcentral.